CCUACGGUGGUCAGCAGUAGGGAAUCUUCCACAAUGGACGAAAGUCUGAUGGAGCAACGCCGCGUGAGUGAAGCAGGGUUUCGGCUCGUAAAGCUCUGUUGGUAGUGAAGAAAGAUAGAGGUAGUAAAUGGCCUUUCUUGGACGGUAAUUACUUAGAAAGUCACAGCUAACUACGUGCCAGCAGCCGCGGUAAUACGUAGGUGGCAAGCGUUGGCCGGAUUUAUUUGGCGUAAAGCGAGAGCAGGCGGGUAAAUAAGUCUGAUGUGAAAGCCUUCGGCUCAACCGGAGAAUUGCAUCAGAAACUGUUGAACUUGAGUGCAGAAGAGGAGAGUGGAAUUCCAUGUGUAGCGGUGGAAUGCGUAGAUAUAUGGAAGAACACCAGUGGCGAAGGCGGCUCUCUGGUCUGCAACUGACGCUGAGGCUCGAAAGCAUGGGUAGCGAACAGGAUUAGAUACCCUGGUAGUC
This 465-nucleotide ribosomal RNA is filed under the name uncultured bacterium. RNAcentral describes it as "partial 16S ribosomal RNA". It matches the Rfam family "Bacterial small subunit ribosomal RNA", at positions 338 to 795 of the family's 1533-position model. The record is from RNAcentral.